GACGAACGCUGCGGCCUGCUUAACACAUGCAAGUCGAACGGUGAAGCGCCUUCCUUUUUGGUGGGUGUGGAUGAGUGGCGAACGGGUGAGUAACACGUGAGUAACCUGCCCCCUUCUUCUGGAUAACCGCAUGAAAGUGUGGCUAAUACGAGGUAUUCUGGGUCUGUCGCAUGAUGGGUCUGGGAAAGAUAGUGUUUCGGUGGGGGAUGGGCUCGCGGCCUGUCAGCUUGUUGGUGGGUUGAGUGCCUACCAAGGGGGUGACGGGUAGCGGGCCUGGGAGGGUAGACGGUCUGAGUGGGAGUGAGACACGGCCGGGACUGCUACGGGAGGCAGCAGUGGGGGGGAGGGAGCAGUGGGGGAUAGUGUGAUGCGGGGGGGAGGCGGAAGGGAUGGAGCCGUGCGGGUUGUGAAGCUCUUUCGCUAGUGAAGCAGGCUUGCCUGGGAUGUAGGUGGGUUGACGGUAGUGGGAAAAGAAGCGCCGGCUAACUACGUG
RNAcentral lists this ribosomal RNA (493 nucleotides) under uncultured bacterium. RNAcentral describes it as "partial 16S ribosomal RNA". It matches the Rfam family "Bacterial small subunit ribosomal RNA", at positions 28 to 507 of the family's 1533-position model. The record is from RNAcentral.